CCUGAAUCCACCCCUGAAUGGCCUUGCCACCAGGCAGUACACGAUCAGCUGGACCACAUCCAUGACCACAGGUUCGAUCCCUGAUCCUGGAAGAUCCCACGUGCCGUGGAGCAGCUAAGCCUGUGCGCCACAGCUCUGGAGCCUGUGCUCUGAAGCCCAGAAGCCGCAACUACGGAGCCCACAUGCAGCAGCUACUGACACAAGCGUGCCCUCGAGCCUCUGCUCCACAAGAGAAGCCACUGCAAAGACAGGGCACUGCGGCUGGAGAGUAGCUCUCACUCGCUGCAACUCGAGAAAAGCCCAAGCAGCAACGAAGAUCCAGCACAGCCAAAAACAGAUAAAAUCUUGAAACAAGAACAGAAUUGACUUGGUGGGAGAGUCAUGAUGCUUUCAAAGAAUUAAUACAAGAUGAGAUUAGGUGCCUAAUGAUCAUGAGAUGUGUGUAGGAGAGAGGGAGAGAAGGAUCAGGGUGGGUAGGGUGGAAUUUAUCAAAGGGAGUGAGCUGGUUUUCCACUGAUUGGAGCCCCUCAAGGUAUUUCAGAGGAGGUAGAUGAUCCGGGACCAUAUUUAUUCUCUGUCUUUACUGCCAGGAAGAGCUUUGUUUUCAGAGCCCUGCUUGCCUAUGGAAUUCGAUCUAUGGGUAUAAUCAUUUCACCUCGGGAUGUCCCAAGACACAAACACAGAUGUGAAUAUUAGCUCCACAUUCUCCCAAAAGAAGGCCUGUGGGUUUUGCUUUCAUAAUAACUCUUAGCAGAUUUCAUCGUAGAAAAUACUGUGCUGCACUCACAGAGCCCAACAGAGCCUGAGAAAUUGCUACGGUUGCCACAGAGGAGAUCACACGGCAGCCUGUGGACACAGUCCAUAGGCUCACAUGUUCGACCCCACAGUACAGUUAAGAAUGGGGGUCUCAGAAUAAUUCAGUCUGGUUCCCGGACUGGUUCCUCACUGGCAACUUUGCAUUACUUGGAUAAUUGUUUAACACUCUAUCUUCCCUAUGUAAAAUAGUCAAAGGCCUAAAAAUCUUAGGGUAGAUGCUGUUUGGGCUUCCCAGAUGGCUCAGCAGUAAAGAAUUUGCCUGCUGUGCAGGAGACUCAGGAGACAUUGGUUGGGAAGAUCCAUUCCCAUUGCCUGAGUUGAGAAGAUCCCCUGGAGGAGGGCAUGGCAACCCACUCCAGUAUUGUUGCCUGGAAAACCCCAUGGACAGAGGAAACUGGUGAGCUACAGUCCAUGGGGUCACAAAGAGUCAGACACGACUGAGCGUGCACACAUGCUUAAUUCAACAG
Long non-coding RNA from Bos taurus (domestic cattle), 1283 nucleotides. NCBI's taxonomy places the organism in Eukaryota, Metazoa, Chordata, Mammalia, Artiodactyla, Bovidae. The record is from Ensembl.